This 306-nucleotide ribosomal RNA is filed under the name marine sediment metagenome. RNAcentral's name for it is "LSU rRNA". It matches the Rfam family "Bacterial large subunit ribosomal RNA", at positions 67 to 199 of the family's 2925-position model. The record is from RNAcentral.
UGCGAUAAGCGUCGGGGAGGUGCGAAUACCCUUUGAUCCGACGAUUUCCGAAUGGGGAAACCCACCUUAGAUAUCUAGAAAAUUUGAACUGUUGGAACGAUGAAGCGCUGUUUUGGUUUGUUUCUCAAAAGGAGGCACCCAUACAGACCGCUAGGUCGUCGCAGCUUUUGCUGCGCCCUCCCGGAGCACAGCCCUGAAAGGGCGGUACGUGCGUGAGGGAAGAACACUUCAACUUUCUAGAUAUCAAAAUAAGGUAUCUAACUUUCGAAUACAUAGGGGUUAGAAGCGAACCCGGGGAACUGAAAC